GUGGGGAAUCUUGCGCAAUGGGCGAAAGCCUGACGCAGCCAUGCCGCGUGAAUGAUGAAGGUCUUAGGAUUGUAAAAUUCUUUCACCGGGGACGAUAAUGACGGUACCCGGAGAAGAAGCUCCGGCUAACUUCGUGCCAGCAGCCGCGGUAAUACGAAGGGGGCUAGCGUUGCUCGGAAUUACUGGGCGUAAAGGGCGCGUAGGCGGACAGCUUAGUCAGAGGUGAAAGCCCAGGGCUCAACCUUGGAAUUGCCUUUGAUACUGGCUGUCUUGAGUUUGGGAGAGGUGAGUGGAACUCCGAGUGUAGAGGUGAAAUUCGUAGAUAUUCGGAAGAACACCAGUGGCGAAGGCGACUCACUGGCCCAAUACUGACGCUGAGGCGCGAAAGCGUGGGGAGCAAACAGGAUUAGAAACCCCAGUAGUCC
This 425-nucleotide ribosomal RNA is filed under the name uncultured bacterium. RNAcentral's name for it is "bacterial SSU rRNA". It matches the Rfam family "Bacterial small subunit ribosomal RNA", at positions 354 to 796 of the family's 1533-position model. The record is from RNAcentral.